AUUGCUCAGUGGUAGAGCACAUGCUUAGCAUGCACGAGGUCCUGGGUUCAACCCCCAGU
Molecule: transfer RNA, 59 nt
Filed under: Camelus bactrianus (Bactrian camel)
Lineage: Eukaryota; Metazoa; Chordata; Mammalia; Artiodactyla; Camelidae
Also listed under: 2 other names
Rfam family: tRNA
About the family: Transfer RNA (tRNA) molecules are approximately 80 nucleotides in length. Their secondary structure includes four short double-helical elements and three loops (D, anti-codon, and T loops).
Source: Rfam by way of RNAcentral